CAGUAGCCGCGGUAAUACGGAGGGUGCAAGCGUUAAUCGGAAUUACUGGGCGUAAAGCGCACGCAGGCGGUUUGUUAAGUCAGAUGUGAAAUCCCCGGGCUCAACCUGGGAACUGCAUUUGAAACUGGCAAGCUAGAGUCUCGUAGAGGGGGGUAGAAUUCCAGGUGUAGCGGUGAAAUGCGUAGAGAUCUGGAGGAAUACCGGUGGCGAAGGCGGCCCCCUGGACGAAGACUGACGCUCAGGUGCGAAAGCGUGGGGAGCAAACAGGAUUAGAUACCCGCGUAGUCCCUGUCUCUUAUAC
RNAcentral lists this ribosomal RNA (301 nucleotides) under uncultured bacterium. RNAcentral describes it as "partial 16S ribosomal RNA". It matches the Rfam family "Bacterial small subunit ribosomal RNA", at positions 509 to 807 of the family's 1533-position model. The record is from RNAcentral.